RNAcentral lists this ribosomal RNA (482 nucleotides) under Microdochium phragmitis. Its description in RNAcentral is "eukaryotic LSU rRNA". The stretch from base 168 to 321 matches the Rfam family "5.8S ribosomal RNA". Lineage: Eukaryota; Fungi; Ascomycota; Sordariomycetes; Xylariales; Microdochiaceae. The record is from RNAcentral.
GUGAACCUGCGGAAGGAACCAUACCAGAGUUUUUAACUCCUUAAAACCAUGUGGACUUAACCACUGUUGCCUCCGGUGGAAGGUACCCCGAAGGGGUGCUGAAAGCCCGGCGGACAUCUAACUCUUGUUAUUUUUGUUAUUCUGAAUCAAACUAAGAAAUAAGUUAAAACUUUCAACAACGGAUCUCUUGGUUCUGGCAUCGAUGAAGAACGCAGCGAAAUGCGAUAAGUAAUGUGAAUUGCAGAAUUCAGUGAAUCAUCGAAUCUUUGAACGCACAUUGCGCCCAUUAGUAUUCUAGUGGGCAUGCCUGUUCGAGCGUCAUUUCAACCCUUAAGCCUAGCUUAGUGUUGGGAGACUGCCUAAUACGCAGCUCCUCAAAACCAGUGGCAGAGUUUUUACGUACUCUGAGCGCAGUAAUUCUAUUCUCGCUUUUGAACACGUCUAGACGAUAGCCAAAAACCGCUUGCCUCGGCAGCACUUUU